RNAcentral lists this ribosomal RNA (301 nucleotides) under uncultured bacterium. Its description in RNAcentral is "partial 16S ribosomal RNA". It matches the Rfam family "Bacterial small subunit ribosomal RNA", at positions 509 to 807 of the family's 1533-position model. The record is from RNAcentral.
CAGUCGCCGCGGUAACACGGAGGGUGCGAGCGUUAAUCGGAAUUACUGGGCGUAAAGCGUACGCAGGCGGCUUUGUAAGUUAGAGGUGAAAGCCUGGGGCUCAACUCCAGAAUUGCCUUUAAGACUGCAUCGCUUGAACGUCGGAGAGGUGAGUGGAAUUCCGAGUGUAGAGGUGAAAUUCGUAGAUAUUCGGAAGAACACCAGUGGCGAAGGCGGCUCACUGGACCAUAACUGACGCUGAGGCGCGAAAGCUAGGGGAGCAAACAGGAUUAGAUACCCCAGUAGUCCCUGUCUCUUAUAC